RNAcentral lists this ribosomal RNA (484 nucleotides) under uncultured bacterium. RNAcentral describes it as "bacterial SSU rRNA". It matches the Rfam family "Bacterial small subunit ribosomal RNA", at positions 29 to 533 of the family's 1533-position model. The record is from RNAcentral.
AACGAACGCUGGCGGCAUGCCUAACACAUGCAAGUCGAACGAAGCCUUCGGGCUUAGUGGCGCACGGGUGCGUAACGCGUGGGAAUCUGCCCUUGGGUUCGGAAUAACAGUUAGAAAUGACUGCUAAUACCGGAUGAUGUCUUCGGACCAAAGAUUUAUCGCCCAGGGAUGAGCCCGCGUAGGAUUAGGUAGUUGGUGGGGUAAUGGCCCACCAAGCCGACGAUCCUUAGCUGGUCUGAGAGGAUGAUCAGCCACACUGGGACUGAGACACGGCCCAGACUCCUACGGGAGGCAGCAGUGGGGAAUAUUGGACAAUGGGCGAAAGCCUGAUCCAGCAAUGCCGCGUGAGUGAUGAAGGCCUUAGGGUUGUAAAGCUCUUUCAGCCGGGAAGAAAACGCAUGGGUUAAUACCCUGUGUGGAUGACGGUACCGGAAUAAGAAGCACCGGCUAACUACGUGCCAGCAGCCGCGGUAAUGUACAGUGU